This 3692-nucleotide long non-coding RNA is filed under the name Homo sapiens (human). RNAcentral's name for it is "HSALNT0368472". Lineage: Eukaryota; Metazoa; Chordata; Mammalia; Primates; Hominidae. The record is from RNAcentral.
GCAAAAGAACCUGAAAUUAUUUUUGUUUCUGCCAGUAUGAGCACCUGGUGGAUUCAGUCUAGAAGAUGGAUGUAUGACAAGAUAUGGCAUCCAGAACCAGAGAAACAAAGUCACAUUGCCUCUCUUAUGGUAAGUCAACUGGACACAGAAAAGCCACCAUGGAAGCUCAAAACUGUCUUUUGCUUAGAUAAAAUUACUAGAAAGAAAAUUUUCCUUCUGCAUUGAAAACAGGAAUGAUGCUGGACCCUUGCUAGGUGACAUACUAGGCAAUAUUGCAAUCAGACCUUAUAGUUUGAUUCCACAGAUGGCAUUCUUGCACUUCUUACACAGACCAUAGGUGGUCCUGAUGCUGACUCAUGAAAUCAAUAUUUAUCAAAUCACCAGAUGUUAUGGAUGGCUCACAAGCCAGCCCUGGUGUGCAACUUGGGGUAGCUUACCUGUCAGAUACUAAAGAUUACAUAUGGAUAGACCCAAAGUCUGGACUGAUUUGGCUAGGUGACAAAACCAAGCCCUAUAACAGCCAAAACUAAAGGUCUUUUAUAUAAAAUAUUUCACAACCUGUUUUGCUCCCACAGAUUGACAGGGAGACAUGAUAGCUGCAGAUGUGGAAAUGCCAAUAACAAAGAAGACAAGGCACAGCAAACUUCAGGCUGAGGCGCCACAGGCUUCACCCUGACCCUAUCUGUAAAUAACAGCGGCCUUUUAAUAUUGCGUGGUAACAAGAUAUACAAGUGGUUCCCACCUAGAUACUCAGGGUGCUGUGGACUCAGUUAUCUGACAUCCUCUGUUACUAGGUACUCCACUUUAAAUGGCAGCCAAAUUACAAAUGGGCCUUUUUGUUCAUAAAGUGGUGCCACACAGAGGUAAUGAAUGUGACUUUGUAAAAAACCCACCUAUAUAUCACAAAUCUAUGUUCUUUUCAGUCCUCAGAACUUUUCCCCUGGCAUUUGGAACUUAAGAAAAUGAAAGGGCAGUUUAAAAUCUUUCCAUGGCAAUAGAACAAGACUUCAGUAUCACUACCCAAGCCUUGGGAGCACUCCAGUCAGAAGUCAACAGUCCAGCUUCUGCUGUACUUUAGAACUGCUGCAGCCUGAAUGUGCUGACAGCCCAACAGGGAGGAGCUUGUGCAGCUAUUGGUGACAAAUGCUGUUUCUACAUAAACCGCUCAGGGCAAGUAGAGACUGAUCUGCACCUCUUGAAGGUCAAGGUAAAAUAUUAUCCAUCAGGUAAACAAGGCUAAACUGUUCUAUUGGUCUGACCUAUUCCUGGGAAUGGGAGACUGGUUUAAUGGGGUGUGGGGAAGUGUGCUUAGAUAUGUUCUUUUCUCAUUUUAAUCUAUGUUCUUUUCUUCCUUUUCAGAUCUCUUACUACCCAGCUACUAAACCAACUUCUCUCUCCAGAGCCACUAACUUAGGAUUUUUUUUUUUUUUUUGAGACAGAGUCUCACUCUGUCACCCAGGCUGGAGUGCAGUGGUGUGAUCUUGGCUCACUGCAACUUCCGCCUCCCAGGUUCAAGCAAUUCUCUGCCUCAGCCUUCCAAGUAGCUGGAAUUACAGGUGCCCGCCUAUAAUCCAUACCCAGCUAAUUUUUGUAUUUUUAGUAGAGACGGGGUUUCACCAUCUUGGCCAGGCUGGUCUUGAACUCCUGACCUCAUGAUCCACCUACCUUGGCCUCCCAAAGUGCUGGGAUUAUAGGCAUGAGCCACCGCGCCCGGCCUAACUCAGCUUUUUAUGUGUGAAACUUCUAGGGGAGUUCCAGACAGGGAGAAUGAAUAAGCUCCUUGGUAUAAUGUAUAUUUUGAAUUAAAAGACUUUAUAAAUCAACAGGCCUCAGAAGAAACUUAUCCCCUAACUUCAAAAAGAUCAGAUAGGCCCAUCAAGAACAAUUGCCUUUUCUUCCCUUCCCUGUUAUCUCACUAUUUCAGGAAAGAAGAGGAAGAAUAUAACCAUACCAGAACCAACCAUUUUACAAAAUAAUACCUGUCUCUCAGGUUCUUUUAACUUCCAAAGAAAACCAUUUACAAGUCAAUUUCUGUUCUCACCUUCCAUUCAUUCUCCUAAGUACCUAUUCAUUUUUCCUUAGUAAUUAUUUAAUGCCCCUCAACCAGAAUUACCUCUAUAUUCCCCAUCUUCCCCCUCCCCUCUGAAAGAGGUUAUAGAAGUGUCUGGGCCCUGUUGGGAAAUUGGGUAAUCACUCUAUGAUUCUUCUCGAGCACAUGGUUAAAUAAAUUUGUAUGCUUUUUGUCCUAUUAAUCUGCCUUACUGUAAAUUGAUUUUUUUCAGCAAACCCUCUGAGGGCAAGGGGAAAGCUCCUCCAAUGCCCAUACACAAGUGAAGAAGAUCAAGAAGAAUUUAUCACAAACCUGCCUUGCUAUACAAGUGUCUGAUGUACAAAAGACUGAAGUGAAAUACUUGUUAGCACCAAUAAAAUAUAACUCAGUGACAAAUUUUCUAAAAAGAACUUUGUAUCUAGGAUUGAUAGGCUUGGAAAAAUCUUACAAACUUUUCUUCAACAUCUGAAAGUGUUUUUCAGUCUAUAGUAAUUGUCAGGCCUCUGAGCCUAAGCUAAGCCAUCAUAACCCCUGUGACCUGCACGGAUACAUCCAGAUGACCUGAAGCAACUGAAGAACCACAAAAGAAGUGAAAUAGUCAAUUCCUGCCUUAACUGAUGACAUUCUACCACUGUGAUUUGUUCCUGUCCCACCCUAACUGAUCAAUUGAGCUUGUGACAUUCCUUCUCCUGGACAAUGAGUCUCAGGAGCUCCCCACCGAGCACCUUGUGACCCCCACCCCUACCCUCAAGAGAAAACCCCUUUAACUGUAAUUUUCCACUACCUACCCAAAUCCUAUAAAACUGGCCCACCCCAUCUCCCUUUGCUGACUCCUUUUUCAGACUCAGUCUGCCUGCACCCAGGGAAUCAAAAAGCUUUAUUGCUCACACAAAGCCUGUUUGGCCGUCUCUUCACACAGACGUGUGUAACAGUAAUAAUAUUAUUUUAUUUUUUUGAGACAGGGUUUCACUCUGUUGUGCUGGCUGGAGUACAGGGGUGUGAUCAUGGUUCACUGCAGCCUCAACCUCCCUGGGCUCUAGUGAUCCUCCCACCUCAGCUUCCUGAGUAGCUGGGACCACAGAUGUGCACCACCACACCCAGCUAUUUCUUGGUAGAGAUGUUUUUUUGCCAUGUUGCCCAGGCUGGUCUUGAACUUCUAGGCUCCAGUGAUCCACUUGCUUUGAUCUCCCAGUGUUGGGAUUACAGGCAUGAGCCACCAUGCCCAGCCCUUAGUAAUAAUUUUAAAAAGUCUUUUAGUUUGAAGUUUUUGAUAGCCUGAGAACUGAGGCAGCAUCUUCUUAAAUUAUUCUUGUAAAAUCUGUGGGUUUGAAGUUUGAUUAAUGAGAACACAAUGUGUUUUUCCAAUGCUUCAUAUAGUGUCCCUUGUUCACAUUCCUGUUUUAUUCUUACUGCUUGUGUUCUUUAUUAUGGCUGGAUUGGUACUAGAAAAAACAAACCUUGUUUGUGUAUGAGUGUGGAUGUGUCUGACAAGUACUUGAAAUGUGACUUACAUGAUUUUGCUGUUUUUCUUUUUCAUGAAAUAUUAAGGUGGGAAAGUUGACAUUUUGCUUUUAAUUCAACAUAAUAUGAUGUGAAGAAUUUCCAAAUAAGAUUGUUUUCAUGUAAGACUCAUGGCCUAGAU